CCUACGGGAGGCAGCAGUGAGGAAUAUUGCACAAUGGGCGAAAGCCUGAUGCAGCAACGCCGCGUGAGCGAAGAAGGCCUUCGGGUCGUAAAGCUCUUUUCUCAAGGAAGAUAAUGCCGGUACUUGUAGCGGAAGCCCCGGCAAACUACGUGCCAGCAGCCACGGUCAUACGUCGGGGGCUAGCGUUAUCGGGAAUUACUGGGCGUAAGGGGUGCGUAGGUGGUUUCUUAAGUCAGAGGUGAAGGGCUACGGCUCAACCGUAGUAAGCCUUUGAAACUGGGGAACUUGAGUGCAGGAGAGGGGAGUGGAAUUCCUAGUGUAGCGGUGAAAUGCGUAGAUAUUAGGAGGAACACCAGUGGCGAAGGCGGCUCUCUGGACUGUAACUGACACUGAGGCACGAAAGCGUGGGGAGCAAACAGGAUUAGAUACCCUUGUAGUC
This 439-nucleotide ribosomal RNA is filed under the name uncultured bacterium. Its description in RNAcentral is "partial 16S ribosomal RNA". It matches the Rfam family "Bacterial small subunit ribosomal RNA", at positions 338 to 795 of the family's 1533-position model. The record is from RNAcentral.